AAGGCGGUGCACGAAUAAGAGCUGGGCAAGACCGGUGCCAGCCGCCGCGGUAACACCGGCAGCUCGAGUGAUGACCGAUCUUAUUGGGCUAAAGCGUUCGUAGCCGGCCGGGCAAGUUCGUCGGGAAAUCUACCAGCUCAACUGGUAGGCGUCCGGCGAAAACUGUCCGGCUUGGGACAGGGAGACUCGAAGAGUACGUCCGGGGUAGGAGUGAAAUCCCGUAAUCCUGGACGGACUACCGAUGGCGAAAGCACUUCGAGAGAACUGAUCCGACGGUCAGGGACGAAAGCUGGGGUCUCGAACCGGAUUAGAUACCCGGGUAGUCCCAGCUGUAAACGAUGUUCGCUAGGUGCGACGCAGACUACGUGUCUGUGUUGUGCCGUAGGGAAGCCGAGAAGCGAACCGCCUGGGAAGUACGUCCGCAAGGAUGAAACUUAAAGGAAUUGGCGGGGGAGCACUACAACCGGAGGAGCCUGCGGUUUAAUUGGACUCAACGCCGGACAUCUCACCAGCCCCGACUGUGGGAAUGAAGCUCAGUGUGAUGAGCUUAGCAGACCCACAGAGAGGAGGUGCAUGGCCGCCGUCAGCUCGUACCGUGAGGCGUCCUGUUAAGUCAGGCAACGAGCGAGACCCGCGCUCCUAAUUGCCAGCAUGGCCCUUGUGGCUGAUGGGUACAUUAGGAGGACUGCCGCCGCCAAGGCGGAGGAAGGAACGGGCAACGGUAGGUCAGUAUGCCCCGAAUGGGCUGGGCUACACGCGGGCUACAAUGGUCGGGACAAUGGGUUCCUACCCCAAGAGGGGACGGUAAUCUCAGAAACCCGGUCGUAGUUCGGAUUGUGGGCUGAAACUCGCCCACAUGAAGCUGGAUUUGGUAGUAGUCGCGUGUCACAAGCGCGCGGUGAAUACGUCCCUGCUCCUUGCACACACCGCCCGUCAAAGCACCCGAGUGAGGUCCGGAUGAGGCCUGGGUGCCAGGUCGAA
Molecule: ribosomal RNA, 981 nt
Filed under: uncultured archaeon
Lineage: Archaea
Description: bacterial SSU rRNA
Rfam family: Archaeal small subunit ribosomal RNA
Source: RNAcentral